The sequence is a ribosomal RNA, 1217 nucleotides long. The stretch from base 973 to 1131 matches the Rfam family "Archaeal large subunit ribosomal RNA", at positions 2544 to 2703 of the family's 2987-position model.
AUUAAUUGUUGUGGUAAUUUUUAAUAGACAUAUAUAUAUUUAUUUAUGAUGAAUUAAUUAAUUAACUAUAGAAAAUAGUAUUGUGAGAGAUUUUUGAAAAAUUGAAAAAUUUUUUGUAAAUAAGUUAUUGUUUGUACCUUUUGUAUCAGGGAUUAAUUAUAAAAAUUAUAAAUUUAUAUUUCCCGAAAAAUUUUGAGCUAUUUUAUUUAUUAAAUAUUGUUUCAGAAAUAUUGGUUAAAUAAUAUAGAAAUGAAAUUUUAUUCGAAAAGUUUGAUAUCUGGUUAUAUAAUUAAAAUUAAAUAUUUUUAGAUAUUUUUUGUUUUUUGUUAAAAGUAUCGAUUUUCUUUUUAAGGAUAAGCUUAAUAAGGUUAUAUAAAUUUUUAAAAAUUUAAUUGGAGGUUUAAAAAUUACUACUUAUUUGUAAUAAAAUAGUUAGAUGAUGGGAUUUUUUUAUAAAUAAUUUUUUAUAAUUAAUUUUUGUUAGAAGAAUUUAUAUUAAUAUUAGUAUAAAUUUUGAAAUUGUUUUUAUUUUUGAUUAUAUUUAUGAGAUUUUAGAAAUUAAAUAUCUAGGAAUUAGGCAAAAAUUAUUUUUGAAUGUUUAACAAAAACAUUGUAUUUUGUUGGUAAUAAAAUAUAUAACCUGCUCAAUGAUAAUUAAAUUGCUGUGGUAUUUUGACUAUACGAAGGUAUUGAAAUAAGAUUUUAAUUGAGUGCUAAGAGAAUGGUUAAACAAAGAAAGACUUUCUUGAUAUUUAUAAUAAAAGUUGAUUUAAAAAUGAAAAAGUUUUUAUGAAAAUUUGGGACAAGAAGACCCUAUGAAUUUUUUUAUUAAAAAUUAAUUUUUUAAUUUUUAAUUUAUAUAAAUUGAGUUAAUUUUUAGUUUGGUUGGGGCGAUUUUUAAAGAUUGAGAAUCUUUAAAUUAAGAUGUAAUUAGAACCAAUAUUUUUGGUUGUAUGAUUAAAAUACUCUAGGGAUAACAGCGUUAUUAUUUUGAAUAGUUCAUAUUGAUAAAAUAGUUUGCGACCUCGAUGUUGGAUUAAGAUUCUUAUAUAAUGAAGAAGUUAUAUUAAGAAGUUUGCUCAACUUUUAAAAUCUUACAUGAUCUGAGUUCAAACCGGCGUAAGCCAGGUUGGUUUCUAUCUAAAUUUUAAAUUAUAAUUAUUUUAGUACGAAAGGAAUUAAUAAUUCAAAUGGUUUGAAUAAUUUUUUUUAUUAUU